AGGGCCUGGCGUAAAAACGGAAUGUAUAAAUGGAUACAGAUUGAAUUGGUCCAAGCCUGAUGGUGCGGGCAGAUAUCCUGGUCGGUCACCUGCAGACCACGAUGACUUAGGGGAGAGCAUCUGACGCCGUCACCCGUACAGCCUGGCUACGUCGACAGCACAGAGACGGUGCCAAGGUGCUCCUUGCUCUUUUCCCAUCUCACAUCUGCAUGGAGACGAACCGGGGGAAGCCGGGCUGUUCAGGAGCUACG
Long non-coding RNA from Chroicocephalus ridibundus (black-headed gull), 251 nucleotides. RefSeq lists it as uncharacterized. The record is from RefSeq and is a predicted model, not a curated record. Lineage: Eukaryota; Metazoa; Chordata; Aves; Charadriiformes; Laridae. The transcript has 3 exons.